Osmia bicornis bicornis is the source of this 1748-nucleotide long non-coding RNA. RefSeq lists it as uncharacterized. The record is from RefSeq and is a predicted model, not a curated record. The transcript has 7 exons. NCBI's taxonomy places the organism in Eukaryota, Metazoa, Arthropoda, Insecta, Hymenoptera, Megachilidae.
AAUCUCAUCUGUUGUGACGAUUGCAUGAUGAAGAACUUUAGUGGAACCUAGUUUUUCUAUUGGCAAAUGGAAUUGAUAAGGGAAUUCAUUGAUAAUCUCCAGGAUGCUAGCACGUUCGACUUCGUUGAGAUCAUUCAGUUCUAAAAGUUCAGCUAUUUGAACCAACCUAUUCUUUAAUUGGGACGGAUAUGAGUGUUUUCGUACGAGGAAACAAUUUAAAAGAGGAUGAUGAGAGAACAAAAAAUUCAUCAUCAAUCUGUAGACUAUUUGGCAUACUAUUUCUAAAUCUUAAUACCGCAUCUUGAUUUUCUAAAAAUGGCAUCCCCAAAAUUCCUGCCUCGGCGAUGGGAAAAACAUCCUGAACAACUUGGAAUUUAACGUUAAUGUCACGAACUUUAAUGCUAACCUCUCCGCAGAUUCAAUUGUGAGCCCGUAUCAAUGAGGAAGUCAGCAGAUCCUCCAUGGAAACAGCUGUGAAUUAAUUUUAUCACCGGAGAAUGCCCAAUGUUUUUUAUUUCGACCUGGGAGCAGGCCCGACGGGUUUGAAGGGAGCAAUCCACGGUUCGUUCCGCGCAACUCCCCGACGUGGAACGCCCUUUGAGUUUAAAUGUCCCUGAUCCCUGAUUUUAUAAGAAGAAACACCUUGAGGCUGAGGAUUUCGUCGUGUUUCCUGAAUUUGAGGACAAUGACUUUGCAGAUGUCCCACUUUAUUACACCGAAAACAUCGACGGUCAUCAAAAUCUAUUUUACGGACAUUCGCGUUCCCGACAAGAGGCUGUGAAGAUGGAGACAAUCUUGAUCCUUCGACCGUUACUGAUUCUAAUCUACGUGCAAUGUCGAUAACAGCUUCAAGAUCUGUCAGAGAACAAGAUUUUCCAUCAAACUGAGGUAUCAAAUCCUUCAUUAAAGAGAGACGAAGAUAUGACGCUGGAAGCAUACUAGAUGACUCUAUAGAGGUUGGAGUAUUUUUAGAAACAGCAGCAGCAAACGUAGUCGAGGACAAAGAUCGGUAGAAGAUGCCCCGGGAGAUGAAGAAGAUUCUGCAUUUGAUGAAUCUAUGUUUAACUCCUCUACCAAAAAUGUAUUUUCCCGCAGGCCGAUUUUGCGACUCCUUUUGGCGCGCAUGCACUUUAACUUAUACGGCGGCAUUUUGUCAAAUUAUUUCUAACGGUUUCACUUAACGAGUUUUCUAUUUUCAAACACCAAACUCCGUCCGUCGGUAAUCCGUUAUCUCGGUUGGCCUUGAAUCACGGGGAGAUCCUCUGGUUCUGCGAUUUGAUGAUGAUCUCUGUUUCCAAGUCGAAGAGAGGUCCAAUGAUGAUGUGAACGAGGUGCAUGUGAUUCCGGUGGAUGGCUUGCACGGCAGCCGAAAUCACCUGUCUCCGGUAUUCACCCUACGCUCUUGAGGAAACCGUGCCAAAACUCAAGAGGGAGAAGUUGCACUAAUGUUAACAAUGUUCACUUAUAUUAUAAAAGCUCAAUGAAGCAGUUCGUAAAACGUUCAGUUAUUUAUUUAACACACGCCCGCGAGCCGGCAAAAUUAUUAAAGCGUACACAAGUCUAACACAAUCACUUUGUCUUGUUUUGCGUUAUUUACAGUUAUUACACUGAAUACACAUUUUUUUAAAUUAUGCCGUUUUAAAUUUAUCACCUUUAAAAGUUUAUCCCUUUUUGAAUAAUCCCUUUUUUUAAACAUCCCACCGCUGUCACCAAUUUGUUGCGCGUGGAUUUCAGGUGUCUAGGGAUUU